UUGACGGGGCCCGCACAAGCGGUGGAGCAUUGUGGUUUAAUUCGAUGCAACGCGAAGAACCUUACCUAGGCUUGACAUCCCUGGAAUUUUGUGGAAACACAAAAGUGCCUUUCGGGGAACCAGGAGACAGGUGCUGCGUGGCUGUCGUCAGCUCGUGUCGUGAGAUGUUGGGUUAAGUCCCGCAACGAGCGCAACCCUUAUCUUUAAUUGCCAGCAUUCAGUUGGGCACUUUAAAGAGACUGCCGGUGUUAAACCGGAGGAAGGUGGGAUGACGUCAAGUCCUCAUGGCCUUUAUGCUUAGGGCUACACACGUGCUACAAUGGGUGGUACAAAGAGAAGCCAACUCGCGAGAGCGCGCCAAUCUCAAAAAGCCAUCCUCAGUUCGGAUUGGAGUCUGCAACUCGACUCCAUGAAGUUGGAAUCGCUAGUAAUCGCGGAUCAGCACGCCGCGGUGAAUACGUUCCCGGGCCUU
Molecule: ribosomal RNA, 472 nt
Filed under: uncultured Smithella sp.
Lineage: Bacteria; Pseudomonadati; Thermodesulfobacteriota; Syntrophia; Syntrophales; Smithellaceae
Description: bacterial SSU rRNA
Rfam family: Bacterial small subunit ribosomal RNA
Source: RNAcentral